Molecule: long non-coding RNA, 690 nt
Filed under: Saimiri boliviensis boliviensis (Bolivian squirrel monkey)
Lineage: Eukaryota; Metazoa; Chordata; Mammalia; Primates; Cebidae
Description: lncRNA (ENSSBOG00000036470.1)
Source: RNAcentral
GGUUCAUCCAUGUCCCUGCAAAGGGCAUGAACUCAUCGUUUUUGAUGGCUGCAUAGUAUUCCAUGGUAUAUAUGUGCCACAUUUUCCCUGUCCAGUCUAUUAUCAAUGAGCAUUUGGGUUGGUUCCAGGUCUUUGCUAAUGUAAACAGUGCUGCAAUGAACAUUCGUGUGCACGUGUCCUUAUAGUAGAACAAUUUAAAAUCCUUUGGAUAUAUACCCAGUAAUGGGAUUGCUGGGUCAAAUGGAAUUUCUAUUUCUAGGUCCUUGAGGAAUGGCCGCACUGUCUUCCACAAUGGUUGAACUAAUUUACACUCCCACCACCCCAGGACCUUUUCAACUGCCAAGACCAAGACUUUGUUCAUGAGGAAGAGGAUGUGGCUCAGUGUGGCACGGAGGCACGUGAAUGCCCGCAUGCAGAGGGGAUGCUUGAAAAUUAAACCACCCGUAAAGCAAGGCGUUAUAAACGGGCUGUGAGUGUGGCCAGCACUGAUCUGAGCAACAGAGGUCCGGAUUUGCUAAGCCUCACAGGUCUUCUAAGGCUAUGCUCUCCUAGCCGGAUCCACACAUCAUCUCCGGCGACCUGCCGGCUGGUCCUCGCUCCCAUAUCAUUUGAAAGCACUCCCGGCCUUUGUUUCCUUCUAGAACACAUGUUGACCUGCAAAGAGCAUGUGCUUCAGGUAAAAUUAUAUUG